AUGGGUGGAGAUGUUACUCCCUUCUUCUUUCUCUCUCUAUUAUAUUCUAGCUUUUCUCCUCAGAGGAGCACUGAUAUUUCCACCUGGCUGCAUGCAGAAGACGCGCCUUACAUCCGAAGAAUCAGGCAUGAAACACUCGCUGCUUUCACCAAACCCUGUGCGGCAGAGCAAAGGAUUGUGGGAUACAUUGCACGACAGGAAGACAGGAAUAAAGACAGAAGGUGCUCUGGUGAGAGGAGUGGAAGUGAUGUCUCUGAGCUGCACUGCUCAGUGCUGUCUGGAGAGUGUACUGAAAGACAGAUGACAAGAGAAACGGACAGGAGGCACCAAACCAGACAGAUGGAGAAGCAAACAACCAAACAAAUACAUAUAUAAAGACUACUUCAAAAUAAUAAUAAAUACUAUAAAAUACUACUUGAAUAGUACAAAAAUACUACUGUGGCAAAUAAAUUUAGUUAUGCCAAUGUUAAAAAGAAUUGUGUGUACUAGUUAAUUUUAAUUAUCUGAAAUGAAUAAAGUAGCAAAAAUCUAUUUUUUUUUUUGAGAGAGAGUUGACAGCAAAAUAAGACCAACAUAAACAAUGAAUGACAGAGGGAUAUAUCCCAAUUGUAUUACACUAUGUGUUAUCAUCAUUGACAUUCACUGGCAUCACUACAACAUCAAUAUCUGAGCUAAUUCUAUAUUUAAAACUUGUGUGAAUUUGUCAAGCACACACCAUGAAGAUCCACAACAAUCAUUCAGUUUUGAUCGGAGCUGGAUAUGCGAGAAUCUGGUUAAUAUCUUUCUGCUGCAGAACAUUAAUCUGAACCUCGGUGUCAUGGAGGGAGGUGGGCACGGGGUCGUCUGUCCUCUUUAAGGUCUUCCUCCCAUUAGCCCAGACUCAUCAAGGAGAUUAAUCGAGCCCCAAGCGGGCCAGUCCACACAUUUGUCAGGCCACUCAUCCACUAAUACCAUCCUUACGAUCCUUUCUCCCUUCUUAGUUGUACUAUCCCUGUCUUUUUUCACUCUAAAGACAUAGGAAGGUCAGUCCAAGCAUAAGAUAGACAGGGACGGUUGGGACGUGAAUCAUGGAUUGUCCUGAACACUUCAUGAUGGAGUUUAUGUACUUUUGUUAGGAGGCAUUAAUAACAGUGUUGGCCAAACAAAGAACACUGAGAGAAUAAAAGACACUGUUAAGUGACAUUUACAUAAUUAAGCUCGUAUGGAAAUCAAUACGGAUACAGGAGCUGAAAAUUUGUCGCAAUUUCUGAUAUUUGCAAAGACACCAGUAAAAUUGUUAUGUACAUUAUGACAGAUAUGACUGCAGGGUUAAGGUAUAGCCAGUUAGCAUGACCCCAAUUAGCCCUUGGUGCUGUAACUACACUAUCUGAGCCCCAAAAUCCAUCUUUCUCCAUUAACAACCAUUCAAAAGACAACGAGACAGCUAGCCAGAGCGCACUUGUGACAUACAACAGUCGUCCUGCCUCAUGGACACUCACUACAGCAACCUGAGAGUAAACCAUGCGAGACGGAACAGAAGGACACAACUGUCCAACAGAGGGACGUAACUGUCCAGCAUCACGGUGACUCAGCGUCUGGCUGCUGCGUUUACACAAACACAAAUAGAUACACAAUGUUCUCUCUCUCUUUCACACUGUCAUUCUUUGCAUCUGAAACAUCCCAUUCCAAAAUAAUAUAUGUCCCACUCUUGUCUUCAUGCAUUCUGGAAAAUAGACCCUCUCUGACUAAAACCUUGUAGUUUAUUUAUUUGUCUGAAAUAUGUGGAGACAAUCUGCUGACACUCUACAUCACCUAUUUUGUAACGUCAGUUCUUAUAGGUUGGUUUAAAUGGAUUACUACUGACUUCAUACGGACAAAAAAGAAAGAAAAGAAAAAAAAUAAAUAAAUGGGAACAAAACUGUCUGCUUAUCAACAUUCUUCAAGAUAUCUUCUUUUGUGUCAGAAAUGUCAUCAUUUUAUUAUAUUUUCACAAAAAAUAUAUAAUAAAUGUUGAUCUCGUUUUCUUCACACUGUGCUGUCUACAAUACAAGACCAUUUCAAGUGUGUAACAGAUGCAAGUGAAUCACAGACCUCCAUCUACCUGCCAACCGCCCCCAUCACGUACCUCCAAAUCAACAACUGUUUACGCAUCGGCAGCCCUUCUGCCGAUUUUGCAGACUGUCCAUCUUUCUUAGCUAGCUUGGAAACUUUUUUUGCAAGUGCACAAUGAGAUGAGCAAAAGAAAACAUGGAGGGGAAGCGAGGCAAAAAUAUCCCAUUAACUCAGGAAAUUGGUACAAGCUGUGCCACAGCACAAUGCAAUCACCUUUCCCAUCUUAGCAUCUCCUGUCCCCGUCACCCACCCCUUCACCUUGUCCAACAAGUGGCGGAGUCAUGUGCAUUUUGUUUCCUGUCCAACCAUUACAGACGUCGAUGGGUAAGGGAGGAGGACGAAUAAGACUAAAGAGAGAUGCAGAGAGGGAGAGGAAUGCUGAAGGAAAGAAACAUCAGAAAUAAAAAUCGUUAAUAUCUCAAGUGUUUCUCAUAGUCACUAAUAAGAACAACUAGAGUUUCAUCUUCUAAAAAAAGAACCCAGUAAUUGUGUCUCCUGUAGAGGUCCAACAAAUCUCAAAAAUGUCUCAAACUGUGUUCAGAUUCAGAAGUCUGGAAUUAAAAGGAAAUAGCACAUUUAUGCAAAGAAAAAAAAAAGUCAGAAUAAUGAACAAACAGCUGGUGAAUACCAAUGCUGUGAACAGUGUGUUUCAUCCUAUUUGUUUAUAUACAUGGAAAUAUUUGCUAAUUUAGUUAUUAUACAAAAAAAUAUAUAUAAAUGGGGUAAGCUGAUCUAACUAGGUUGCAUAUAUAAAAUAUGUAAAACUCAAAUAUGUUUAUAUAUAUAUAUAUAUAUAUAUAUAUAUAUAUAUAUAUAUAUAUAUAUAUAUAUAUAUAUAAUCAGUAUUAUUUCAUUUAUGUUAAAUACUAAUUACA
Molecule: long non-coding RNA, 2966 nt
Organism: Cyprinus carpio carpio
Lineage: Eukaryota; Metazoa; Chordata; Actinopteri; Cypriniformes; Cyprinidae
Source: Ensembl